AACGAACGCUGGCGGCGCGCCUAAUACAUGCAAGUCGAGCGAGAAGGUGUAGCAAUACACUUGUAAAGCGGCGAACGGGUGAGGAAUACAUGGGUAAUCUACCAUCGAGUGGAGAAUAACCAGCCGAAAGGUUGGCUAAUACCGCGUACGCCUCCGGAUCUUCGGGUUCGGAGGGAAAGCCACACUGUGAGUGCGGCGCUCUUUGAUGAGCUCAUGUCCUAUCAGCUUGUUGGUAGGGUAACGGCCUACCAAGGCUUUGACGGGUAGCUGGUCUGAGAGGACGAUCAGCCACACUGGAACUGAGACACGGUCCAGACUCCUACGGGAGGCAGCAGUGGGGAAUUUUGCGCAAUGGGCGAAAGCCUGACGCAGCAACGCCGCGUGGGUGAUGAAGGUCUUCGGAUCGUAAAACCCUGUCGUCAGGGACGAAGGUUGUAUGUCUAAUAGAUGUGCAACUUGACGGUACCU
This 468-nucleotide ribosomal RNA is filed under the name uncultured bacterium. RNAcentral's name for it is "bacterial SSU rRNA". It matches the Rfam family "Bacterial small subunit ribosomal RNA", at positions 29 to 480 of the family's 1533-position model. The record is from RNAcentral.